AGAAGAACAAAUAGAGGAAAAGGUGGCUUGAGAGGUUGGUGGUCCCACUAGUUUAAUGUUUUGUGGAUGUUUGCAAAGGUUGUGAAGUAGUUUAAUGUUGUGUAGUUGUUUGCGAAUGUUGAAGUAGCUUAAUGUCUCUUCAGAAUGUUUGAAUGACGUUUUGAUUCAACUUUGAAGUAGUUUCGAAUUGAAUUUGA
This is a long non-coding RNA of Lycium ferocissimum, 197 nucleotides long. RefSeq lists it as uncharacterized. Lineage: Eukaryota; Viridiplantae; Streptophyta; Magnoliopsida; Solanales; Solanaceae. The transcript has 2 exons. The record is from RefSeq and is a predicted model, not a curated record.